CUGGCUGGAUCCUUUAACCCACUGCACCUGGCUGAGGAUUGAACCUGCACUUCUGCAGCAACCUGAGCCUCUGCAGUCUGAUUCUGAACCCACUGUGCUGCAGUGGAAACUCCCAGGUCUUUUUUUUUUUUUUUUUUUUUUUUUUUUUUUNNNNNNNNNNNNNNNNNNNNNNNNNNNNNNNNNNNNNNNNNNNUUUUUUUUUUUUUUUUUUUUUUUUUUUGUGAAGACAGGCUUGAGGUCCAUUGAUCUUUCUUCGGGAGAAACUACCAGAGAGAAAAAAAAUUCCCAUAAGUGAUGCGACAGUGCCUUAGGAGGCCUGAUUGUCCUGAGUUGGGGAGAGCAGGAACUUGACUGCCUGCCCAACCAGCCUGGCCCAGCCUGGCCUCCCCAGCUACUUCCCCCAUCCACGAUGGUCGAGCCUCCAGGAAGCUGCAGAUUGGUCUGUGUGUGGUUUAAAAACAUACGCCCUGGCUUUGACCAGCUCCUGGCAGGACAAACGUCUGGAGUCUGGAUUUGGGGCCUCUGGCAGAGCUGCGGUGGAGGCAGGAAGGCACAAAGAGCCUGUAAAACGCCUUCUGUACUGAAGUUCCGGAUCUUGCUUCGGGGAAGGGCCUCUUUGCUCUCUCACUGCCCAGCAGUCCAGACAGCAGAGCCUCGGGCGCCUCUGGGAAAACAAGGAGCCCAGAGGCCCUGAAAAAGAUUUUCACAACAGUAUCAUCCCUUUGAAAAAAAAGAAACUUCAAUGUUGAGAGUAGUUUGAUUCUCACCACUUGCAAGGAAGAUGGGGAAGAAGCAGAGGCACCUCAAGACAUCAGAGCCUGUCCCAGUCCCGCAGCUACUGGUCACCAUCCCGGAUUCUGCAGGUGACCUGGUUAUUGCAAUCUUCAGGUGACCCUGUGGCCCCCUGUCCCUUGCUCCUGAAACUCCUAAAGCGAAGACCUAAAUCCAGAGAUACUUACAUUCUUUACUGAGUUGAGAAGAGAGGAUUUGGAAUACAAGUUUGUAAAUCUUCCAGAGCUGUAUGUUUCAGCCCCAAAUGCCUCUUUGAAUGUGCAGAUUUGCUAAUUAAAAG
RNAcentral lists this long non-coding RNA (1072 nucleotides) under Sus scrofa (pig). RNAcentral describes it as "lncRNA (ENSSSCG00015058938.1)". The record is from RNAcentral. Lineage: Eukaryota; Metazoa; Chordata; Mammalia; Artiodactyla; Suidae.